RNAcentral lists this ribosomal RNA (501 nucleotides) under uncultured bacterium. Its description in RNAcentral is "partial 16S ribosomal RNA". It matches the Rfam family "Bacterial small subunit ribosomal RNA", at positions 30 to 523 of the family's 1533-position model. The record is from RNAcentral.
AUUGAACGCUGGCGGCAUGCCUUACACAUGCAAGUCGAACGGCAGCACGGGUGCUUGCACCUGGUGGCGAGUGGCGAACGGGUGAGUAAUACAUCGGAACGUACCUUAUCGUGGGGGAUAACGCAGCGAAAGCUGUGCUAAUACCGCACACGCCCUGAGGGGGAAAGCGGGGGAUCGCAAGACCUCGCGCGAUUAGAGCGGCCGAUGCCUGAUUAGCUUGUUGGUGGGGUAAAAGCCCACCAAGGCGACGAUCAGUAGCUGGUCUGAGAGGACUAUCAGCCACACUGGGACUGAGACACGGUCCAGACUCCUACGGGAGGCAGCAGUGGGGAAUUUUGGACAAUGGGGGCAACCCUGAUCCAGCAAUGCCGCGUGAGUGAAGAAGGCCUUCGGGUUGUAAAGCUCUUUUGUCAGGGAAGAAACACCGGCUCUAACACAGUCCGGGAAUGACGGUACCUGAAGAAUAAGCACCGGCUAACUACGUGCCAGCCGCCGCCGUAA